GCCCCGGUGGCCUAGUGGUUAGAGCGUCCGCCUCUGAUACGGGAGGUCGUGUGUUCGAACUCUGGCUGAGUCA
Potamilus streckersoni is the source of this 73-nucleotide non-coding RNA. NCBI's taxonomy places the organism in Eukaryota, Metazoa, Mollusca, Bivalvia, Unionida, Unionidae. The record is from the annotation of a GenBank genome assembly.